CCUGUGUAGCAUGGUCCCUGGGCAGUGUGGUCCUGGGGCAGCAUGGUCCCUGGGCAGCAUGGUCCCUGGGCAGCGUGGUCCCUGGGCAGCGUGGUCCUGGGACAGCGUGGUCCCUGGGCAGUGUGGUCCCUGGGCAGCGUGGUCCUGGGGCAGCGUGGUCCCUGGGCAGUGUGGUCCCUGGGCAGUGUGACCCCUGGUAGCAUGGUCCCUGGGCAGCAUGGUCCCUGUGCAGCAUGAUCCCUGGGCAGCGUGGUCCUGGGGCAGCAUGGUCCCUGGACACUGUGGCGGUGCUCUGUGGAUCCCGGAAUCCCCUAUGUCCAUGUCUCUCCUGACACAGGAAGACCCCGCUCCACUCUGGCGUCUCAGCCUCUUGUUUGCCUGCAGGACACCGUGAGUAGCACCCGCCAUGUUGUAAUGAGCUUCUGGAGUAACUGAAGCUGAGCUGCCCGGUGGUCACUGCCCUCCCUGGGGCUUUGGCUUCCACAAGAGCAAGGUCAAGCCUUGGGACUCUGCAGCACAUGCUGGUGGGACACUGUGAGGUGGGGUCCUUGGGGGAGCAUCGCCUGACCCCCACCUGCAAUCCUCCUCUUCCGCCUGCUGCUGUGGGCUUGGUAGUGAGGCCUGGGGCACUUCCGAGGUCCACAGGGACACAGGCUGGCCAGGGAGCAGGCCUCCACAGCACUCUGGCUGCGUCCCCAUAGGCUGGAGCCCUGGGGUCAGAGCCGUCCUGACCCGGGUCCUGCCCAAGGGCCCACCUCUGCUCUGCUGCGCCAGAGACCACGCCUUCAGCACGAGCUGUGGGCGCCAGUCCACCCCAGAGCUGCCGUUUUGCUGGAUUUCCAGCCUCUAGCCUUCAACCUGAGAGGGAGCCCCGUUGGUGUGGACUUGCUGCGGCAUCCUCAGGAGGUGCAGCUGGGGCUGCCCCAGAGGCUCACGUGAGUCAGCGCAGGGGAGCUCAGGGUGGACGCUGGCCAGGGAGAGCCCUAACCCGGGCAGCGCGUCGGCCCCUGGUGGCGACUGACUAGGUGCUGACUGUGGGUGUGCCUGUGGGUGUCCAUCUUGUCCUGGUUGAGGAGAGCGUCCCUCUGCCUCCUGACCACGUCCGGAGCUGCUUCCCUGCUCCACACUGCGCCUCGGUGCUCUCCUCACCUGGGCCCCAGGGCGGGGACCUCUGAAGCUGCAAGCCCAGUGAAGUCCCCUCCUCCAGCUGCUUUCGUCAGUUCUUUGGGUUCAGAAGCAAAAAACCCCAACACGUGCAGCCUCAAAAAGGGACCCAGAGGGCCACCAGCCCUGUACCCCUGCCCCCAAAGGCACCCUCCUGAGUAACUGUGGUGCAAUAUCAUGACAGGAAACGGCCAUCCAUAAGGCCACUACUGGCUGCCGCCACCAGCAUCACGCACCGUGCUGGUGUGCAUCAGCCCCGAGCAGCAGCCUCACACACCCAGAGGCCACUGAGCGAGCACCCAGGGGCCUCCUGCUGCCCUCUGCCUUGGCCACCCUCCCCCUGCACCACCUGUGACCACUGGGCUCUCCUCCACCUCCGUGGCUACUGCUUAGGAACUUCCCACUGCCUGGUCAUCCUCAUGCCCCCUGAGGUCACCCAACCUUCUGUGACAAUGGUUUGUCCUGAUUGUGGCUGAGCAGGAGCCCACAGUGGGGGACAAGGGGCUGGACCCCUCACCUGCAGAAGGGCAUGGAGACUGCAGCCUGGAGCCCCCUGGCCAGGAUGGUGUGGACGCUGCCUGUGGGUCUCUGAACCUCGACUUCCUCUCCCUCUCUGGGGUGGACGCUCAGGGUGCGGCCCCCCGUGGUGGGGACAGGUUCAGUUGGGGAGAAUUUUGAUGUCUUCCUGGUGAACUGAAAGGUAAUGGCAUGCAUCAGAGACUCCUUUCUCAUAAUAAUCCAGCUCUCAAAUAUAAGGAACAGUAAAGUGGAAGUUUAAAAUAUUAAUAUCUUUUCGUAAAUGCUUGCAUCUAUGAUCCUGGGCUGACAAUUUUAAUGACUUUUUAUCUGCAAAAGUCUUCACCCUUUUUUGCACAGCAGAGAGCUGAAUCGAAAUGAAAAACGGAACCGGACAGUUUUUACACUGCCAAGUUCUAUCAGCCUCCGUUUUCUGCGGCUGCGGAUACAUUUUAAUCAUCUUUACGUCUCAUCCACCCUUGAUUUCUUUUUGUUCUGAAGUUUCCAUGCCAUGUCAUUCCCUGCCUCAUUUUAAAUUGCUUACAUAUUUAAAGUCUGGCUCCUUCCUCUCUGUCUCAGAAGCACACACACCUACGGUCUAUUUUUACCCCUCAGAAUUUAGAAUAAAAUUGGAACUCGGCAUCUAGA
Non-coding RNA from Ictidomys tridecemlineatus (thirteen-lined ground squirrel), 2328 nucleotides. The record is from RefSeq and is a predicted model, not a curated record. Lineage: Eukaryota; Metazoa; Chordata; Mammalia; Rodentia; Sciuridae.